UACGGAGGGAGCUAGCGUUGUUCGGAAUUACUGGGCGUAAAGCGCGCGUAGGCGGCUUUGUAAGUUAGAGGUGAAAGCCCGGAGCUCAACUCCGGAACUGCCUUUAAGACUGCAUCGCUUGAAUCCAGGAGAGGUGAGUGGAAUUCCGAGUGUAGAGGUGAAAUGCGUAGAUAUCGGAAGGAACAUCAGUGGCGAAAGCGACUUCCUGGACCAAUACUGACGCUCAUGUGCGAAAGCGUGGGGAGCAAACAGG
This 253-nucleotide ribosomal RNA is filed under the name uncultured bacterium. Its description in RNAcentral is "partial 16S ribosomal RNA". It matches the Rfam family "Bacterial small subunit ribosomal RNA", at positions 524 to 776 of the family's 1533-position model. The record is from RNAcentral.